Small nucleolar RNA from Protobothrops mucrosquamatus (brown spotted pit viper), 96 nucleotides. RefSeq annotates it as small nucleolar SNORD12/SNORD106. NCBI's taxonomy places the organism in Eukaryota, Metazoa, Chordata, Lepidosauria, Squamata, Viperidae. The record is from RefSeq and is a predicted model, not a curated record. The transcript has a single exon.
CUUGGUGCUGGUGAUGACUUUUUAAGACUUUUUUCCCCAUCAGAGCGGAAGUGUUGAACUUUUUGCUGUUAGCCAGAACUUGUCUGACGCACCAAA